GCCGGGAUGGUGGAAUUGGCAGACACGCAAGCUUGAGGGGCUUGUAGCGGAGACGCUGUAGGGGUUCAAAUCCCCUUCCCGGCACCA
This 87-nucleotide transfer RNA is filed under the name Candidatus Omnitrophota bacterium. RNAcentral's name for it is "Candidatus Omnitrophica bacterium tRNA-Leu". It matches the Rfam family "tRNA". From Rfam's summary of the family: Transfer RNA (tRNA) molecules are approximately 80 nucleotides in length. Their secondary structure includes four short double-helical elements and three loops (D, anti-codon, and T loops). The record is from RNAcentral. Lineage: Bacteria; Pseudomonadati; Candidatus Omnitrophota. RNAcentral also lists the same sequence under 1 other name.